This 442-nucleotide ribosomal RNA is filed under the name uncultured bacterium. Its description in RNAcentral is "partial 16S ribosomal RNA". It matches the Rfam family "Bacterial small subunit ribosomal RNA", at positions 338 to 795 of the family's 1533-position model. The record is from RNAcentral.
CCUACGGGAGGCAGCAGUGGGGGAUAUUGGACAAUGGGGGGAACCCUGAUCCAGCGACGCCGCGUGAGUGCAGAAGUAUCUCGGUAUGUAACGCUCUAUCAGCAGGGAAGAAGGAAUGACGGUACCUGAGUAAGAAGCCCCGGCUAACUACGGGACAGCAGCCGCGGUAAUACGGAGGGGGCAAGCGUUAUCCGGAAGUACUGGGGGUAAAGGGAGCGUAGACGGUGAUGUAAGUCUGGAGUGAAAGGCGGGGGCCCAACCCCCGGACUGCUCUGGAAACUAAGUGACUGGAGUGCAGGAGAGGUGAGCGGAAUUCCUAGGGUAGCGGUGAAAUGCGUAGAUAUUAGGAGGAACACCAGUGGCGAAGGCGGCUCACUGGACUGUAACGGACGUUGAGGCUCGAAAGCGUGGGGAGCAAACAGGAUUAGAUACCCUUGUAGUC